Molecule: long non-coding RNA, 482 nt
Filed under: Phaseolus vulgaris (common bean)
Lineage: Eukaryota; Viridiplantae; Streptophyta; Magnoliopsida; Fabales; Fabaceae
Description: long non-coding RNA (PVUL_LNC001178)
Source: RNAcentral
AAAAAGAUAGAGAAUAGGUGGUGAGAUGGGGAAGAAUGGAGGUGCAGAAGUGAGUAAAAUGUACGAGGCAAAGGUUCAGAACAAGAAGAAUGCAACGGUAAUACCAGCUCCAAGGAAAUCCGUGAAGAGAAUGGUUUUUGAGUCUGUGUUUCAUUUUUUCCUUCGUUGUUUUCGUGAGCUCAAAGGAAGAAACCCAAGUAAGUAGGCAUGCUUUCAAAUGGAGCUGAUGGAAGAAAUGAAAACCAAACGCAUCACCAUGAAUUACAAACUCAAUCAACACAUGUAUUACUUUACAAAAGCAUUAUGGUUUAGUGCAGGAAUAUGUUUUAUUUUUUCGAAUGUAUUUGUUGCAAUUUAUGUUGGGAAGUUUUUGGGUGCAAAUACAGUAACGUGGCUGUAACUGCGGUCUAUACAAAGUGUUCACACGCUACUAUUUUUUUAUUUGUCUUCUCUUACUAGCUGGAAAUUGACUUUUUAAUCCA